UACGGGGGGGGCAAGCGUUGUUCGGAAUUACUGGGCGUAAAGGGCUCGUAGGCGGCCAACUAAGUCAGACGUGAAAUCCCUCGGCUUAACCGGGGAACUGCGUCUGAUACUGGAUGGCUUGAGUUCGGGAGAGGGAUGCGGAAUUCCAGGUGUAGCGGUGAAAUGCGUAGAUAUCUGGAGGAACACCGGUGGCGAAGGCGGCAUACUGGACCACAUCUGACGCUGAGGCGCGAAAGCCAGGGGAGCAAACGGG
This 253-nucleotide ribosomal RNA is filed under the name uncultured bacterium. RNAcentral describes it as "partial 16S ribosomal RNA". It matches the Rfam family "Bacterial small subunit ribosomal RNA", at positions 524 to 776 of the family's 1533-position model. The record is from RNAcentral.